UCUGUGAAAUAUAAUUCAGGGCAGGGCCUUUUGAAUUCUCUGCCACCAGGGGCCUCAUAUUUCCAAAUAACAUUUCCCAAAAUCCUGUGUUCUCAGUCUCCUGCCCCAGCUCCAUUUCCUUAUGCCAACCAGCAAGCAGCCUUGGUUUCAAUUUAAAUACAAGCUUCUUUCACUUUGCAAAAGUUGCUUAAUACUUGUACUGAAAAUUAAUCUGACUCUGGGAGGCUUCCGAAUGUUACAGAACCUUAACGAAAAUUAUUGACUGUGUCCUCCCAUCAGCUUCACUCAGACCAAUCCCUGGCUGCCAUUCCCCCCGCCAGCCAAUCCUGGCAUGAAUCCUAACUAGUCUCUUCUCUGGCCAAACGGGAAAGAGGUAUCCAGAGAUGGGUACAACAUCCUGGGAACCCUUUCUGCCCCAAUAGAUGCCUCCAACGGCUGAUUGGAAGCCCCAGGACUUCAGCUGGGAGGGAAUCACCAGCCACAUCAUCAGGACUUAAAUCAACUACAGCAUGAGCUCACCUGAGCCCGCCCCCCAGCCAAUCAGGAGCAAAGGAAAAUGAAGGAUGGUUUUGUAAAAGCAAAGACUCGUGAUGCUCUGUUCAAUAACAUGCAUGUUGAAAUGCUCCAAUUACAGUGCGCCCGACUUGCUCCAGGAGUUUUUAGAAGAAUGAUGCUGUUGGUGAUGGAUGCUGGAACGCAGCAUAAAAAAUGAAAGAAAGAAAGCUUUAAAAAGCAGAAGGAGAGAGGCAAAUGUGUUCCCAGCUACAUUAGCCACCCAAACUCUUCAACAAUAUCUUCACUAAUCUACACAAUUGUGUGUUCCUGUAUGGCAGGAGGUUGGGUUGGAUAGCCCAUGUGGUCUCUUCCUACUCUAUGUUUGUAAAACAAGUAAUUUCUUAUGAUAAAUGUGGUGAAAAUGUCCCCACAUUUGAAAAUGUGAACAUUCAGGGGCAAUUUAUGUUUAACAGGGCACAGAGUCCACAGAAAGGCUGCAUGUGUGUUGUGGGCUACACUUUGCUCAUCCCUGUUAAUGGUGUUUCCUUUCUUGCCUUUAUGUGUUGCCCUCCAAAAUGAUGUUGGAUGGGGAAUGUGAGCAAUGCCUGGGGAGAUCACGGGGCCCAGUGGGGCAUUCCUGGAUAUGUUUAGAUGCAUCAAGUGGUGCCAUCUGCGAUGUUGUGUGUAGGACAUGCAUGUGAGUCCAUCGUCUUCCUCUGUGUGUGUACAGCUAUGUAGGUGGAGAUGGCACAGUACUUGAUUUUUGGACACUAAAUGGCUUUCACAAACAUAUGAAGGGAGCCCUCCCAUUUACCACUAUUUUUCUGUCACAUUCAAAACUCAAUAAAAAGGGAGCAGGAGGGAAGAAAGAGGGAAAACAGCCAUGGCAACGGAGCAGUGCAGCCCACCUGUAUUGUAUCCAUCUAAUGCUUUACAAAGUACAUUUCUGAAGGAGGAAAAAUGUGAAAUUAAAAGAAGCCAACCAAGACCAGCUUUUGAUGCUUCUAUUUUGAUCCAGAGCCCAUAAUAGUAGCUUGUUUAUAGUGUUUAAAAAUUAUGUAAUCAAACAGUAUAUACAGUGAAUUAAGAAAUUAAAAAAUAAACAAUAUGUGUUCCAUUU
Molecule: long non-coding RNA, 1615 nt
Organism: Anolis carolinensis (green anole)
Lineage: Eukaryota; Metazoa; Chordata; Lepidosauria; Squamata; Anolidae
Exons: 4
Source: RefSeq, a predicted model, not a curated record